Molecule: long non-coding RNA, 366 nt
Organism: Nicotiana tabacum (common tobacco)
Lineage: Eukaryota; Viridiplantae; Streptophyta; Magnoliopsida; Solanales; Solanaceae
Source: RefSeq, a predicted model, not a curated record
AGUUUUCACAAAUAUUUCCUUUCAAUUGAUUUAGCCUUGUAUUGAUAAAUUUCUUUAUUAUCAUUUAUUGCCUUUACUUCCCCAUUGUUAGAUUAUAUUAAUAUUUUAUACAGGUUUCUAUGUCUGAUCCAGGUACUUCUGCCCGUGUCGGAUGCCAGUGAGUUGAUUCAGUCAUUUCGGAGACUUCAAGGUAUACCUGCUUGACGCUCACAUGCCUCAGAGUCGCCUUCUGAUAUUGUCUUUACUACUGUUUAUCUUCAUAUCAAAAUAAUAUUGUAUUUAGAGAUUCCUAGUGUACUUCAUUUGAGCAUAUGAUUGUGUACCUCCAGUUUUGAGAAUUAUAUGAAUGUUGUUCCGUUUUGGUUU